GAGGGUAUAGCUCAAGUGAUAGAGUUCAUGCUUAGUAUGCAUGAGGUCCUGGAUUCAAUCCCUGGUACCGCCU
This is a transfer RNA of Camelus ferus (Wild Bactrian camel), 73 nucleotides long. It matches the Rfam family "tRNA". Rfam says of the family: Transfer RNA (tRNA) molecules are approximately 80 nucleotides in length. Their secondary structure includes four short double-helical elements and three loops (D, anti-codon, and T loops). The record is from Rfam. Lineage: Eukaryota; Metazoa; Chordata; Mammalia; Artiodactyla; Camelidae.